Molecule: non-coding RNA, 2171 nt
Organism: Drosophila melanogaster (fruit fly)
Lineage: Eukaryota; Metazoa; Arthropoda; Insecta; Diptera; Drosophilidae
Source: Ensembl
CAGUCAGUCAGUUUGUCAUGCCUUCAAGGCAGGAGGCAGUUGCUGUUGCUGCGGAUACUGUCCUCUCCGUGUACACUGUCAACGGUUGAGUGUGUGCGAAAGCUUUGAAUUUAUAUGCCAGUGUCAGUUGUCAAUCACAUUUGCAAACUGUCACACAUGCGAGCGUUCAAACAGCGGCAAGCUGGCAAACUGAGCGAGUGAGUACAGGAUGCGGCACAGCGGCAACAUAUUAAUCUUUGCCAACGAGAAGGAUACCCACACGUUCGUGGGGCGUUGCCUCGGAAACAGGAAGAAGAAAGCGGCGAAAAGCGCCAGACGUUGACAGGCAUAAGUAAUGCAAAAAAAUUACUUUAUAAUGGAGUGCGAAAAUGAAAAUUGCUGUGGCCAAAAAAAAAAAAAAAAAGAAGAAGAAAACGGAAUGAAACGAGGGAGAACCCAAAGAGCUUGACAACCGCAACGUUGCUUUUUCCAUGAUUGCUACAAGCAAUUUGAGGUAAGAUAAUCAUGGGCCACGGACCCACAAAAGAUUUCGCACACUCACAUUUCAUAUGCAUGGCCAUGGAUGCGAGCGAUGGCAACAUGUUGCUGCUGCUGCUGCUGUUGCUGCUGCCGCUGGCGUUGAAUGUCGGGAGCAAUACUUUGUCGCUGCCCUGACUGCUGACUGUCAACUGUUUUUCAGUGUGCGAGGAUUUCAAAUGCGAUGCGCUGACACCUAGCACACACCAGCAACAUCAGCGAGACUGGGCGAUUGCAAAUGCGACAUGGGGCCCCACCCACGUGUCGCCUCCACAGCUGACAGCCUUCUGACAGGUUUUGUUGUUCACGCGAGUAAUUCAUUUUAUGCUGCCGCUGCAAGGAGCAGCAACUCCCCUUUAGCUGCUGCUGUUGCUGUUGCUGCUGCCGCUGCUGUUGCUGCUGCUGCUGUCACCUCGUUGCUUCAUUUCACAUCACAAAAAUGCCAAGCAAAGCGACGCCCGUUGACAUGUGAGAGACGACAGCACCGCCAGGACAUCCAGAGGGAGGCCCCUGAAACGUCCCUGUGACAAGUGACAGUUAAGUUGAUGUUGCUGCUGUUGUUGCUGUUGUUGAUGUUGCUGCUGCUGCCGUUGCUGCUCCCCAGCAACGUAAUUCAUUUUGCAUGUGCGUGCAACAUUUUCAAGCGUAUUUAUUACGUAAAUUAACAACAAAUACAACAAGGAUGUUGAUGAGGACAACUACAAUACAACUACAACUGCAACGACGACAGCAGGAUGUUCAUGACGUAGCGGAAAUAAAUUUUGCGUGAACAAUACAAAGCGUUACACUGCAAGUUGGCUAAGUUGUAAACGCCCCAAGGAGACACAAGAGACGAACGAGCAGGGCGAGUUUGCGAAAUUAAUGGCAGGCCAAAGGAGUGACGGGCAGAGUAGCAGGACCAGCCACGCACACAUGCUAAUGAGCCGUCACAGGCGGGGCUUAGAGGGGGUUCCAGGGGAUCGAGCUGCUCCACGCUGACAGGAAGUGACUGUCAGCUGAACGAAAGGAACGCAAGGCCCCGAAGUUGCCCGAGGAGCGCUCAAGUGGCCAAGAAAUGGCUGAAGAAACCGUCAAGAACUAAAAGUGGAGAAGGUGAGAUGAGCAGAGUUAGCCAAACCAUUGAAGGACGUUGCUCUAAGUAUUAUAUUAUCUUGUUACUAAGCACACUAGUUUGCUUCAGUGUGUUUAUACGACGUGGUUCAAAAUAAGAACAUAGUUUUUCAUAGUUUAAUUAAAAUCGCAUUUUAAUGCAAACAAUUUUCGCAAUUAAAUACAACGAUAACCAUUAUUCUGCGUGUCAGCAAUAUUAUUUUGAACAGCUCUCUUAAACUUGACUAACAACGACUUAAAUCACACACUAUUUAGGUAAUUUAUUGCACCUACAUUUUCUGACAUCCGGGCCGCUCCGCAAUAGAAAAUAUGUAGAACCCCAUGAAUCAUUGAAAAGCAGCGUUUUAUGGUCCCUAACUUCGUUCGCUGAGAAUCUUAAAAGCCGGACAGCCAACUAGUCUUGGCUGGUACUAUCAGCAAAGAGCUCGAAAAAUACAUUCAGUAAAUGUAUCAAUUUACAUGAAGCAACACUUAAUUUGAAAAUUAUAUGCAAAAGGAAGUGCAAUAAAUUUAUAGCCACGUCGGCGAAUCAAGAGAGAAAAUGU